UACGUAGGUCCCGAGCGUUGUCCGGAUUUAUUGGGCGUAAAGCGAGCGCAGGUGGUUUAUUAAGUCUGGUGUAAAAGGCAGUGGCUCAACCAUUGUAUGCAUUGGAAACUGGUAGACUUGAGUGCAGGAGAGGAGAGUGGAAUUCCAUGUGUAGCGGUGAAAUGCGUAGAUAUCGGGAGGAAGGCCGGUGGCGAAGGCGGCCUCCUGGGCCUGCACUGACGCUGAGGCGCGAAAGCGUGGGGAGCAAACAGG
RNAcentral lists this ribosomal RNA (252 nucleotides) under uncultured microorganism. RNAcentral's name for it is "partial 16S ribosomal RNA". It matches the Rfam family "Bacterial small subunit ribosomal RNA", at positions 524 to 776 of the family's 1533-position model. The record is from RNAcentral.